RNAcentral lists this ribosomal RNA (3822 nucleotides) under Salmonella enterica subsp. enterica serovar Weltevreden. RNAcentral's name for it is "bacterial LSU rRNA". It matches the Rfam family "Bacterial large subunit ribosomal RNA". Lineage: Bacteria; Pseudomonadati; Pseudomonadota; Gammaproteobacteria; Enterobacterales; Enterobacteriaceae. The record is from RNAcentral.
GGGUUGUGAGGUUAAGCGACUAAGCGUACACGGUGGAUGCCCUGGCAGUCAGAGGCGAUGAAGGGCGUGCUAAUCUGCGAUAAGCGCCGGUAAGGUGAUAUGAACCGUUAUAACCGGCGAUACCCGAAUGGGGAAACCCAGUGUGACUCGUCACACUAUCAUUAACUGAAUCCAUAGGUUAAUGAGGCGAACCGGGGGAACUGAAACAUCUAAGUACCCCGAGGAAAAGAAAUCAACCGAGAUUCCCCCAGUAGCGGCGAGCGAACGGGGAGGAGCCCAGAGCCUGAAUCAGCAUGUGUGUUAGUGGAAGCGUCUGGAAAGGCGCGCGAUACAGGGUGACAGCCCCGUACACAAAAGCGCAUGUGCUGUGAGCUCGAUGAGUAGGGCGGGACACGUGGUAUCCUGUCUGAAUAUGGGGGGACCAUCCUCCAAGGCUAAAUACUCCUGACUGACCGAUAGUGAACCAGUACCGUGAGGGAAAGGCGAAAAGAACCCCGGCGAGGGGAGUGAAAAAGAACCUGAAACCGUGUACGUACAAGCAGUGGGAGCNAAGAACCCCGGCGAGGGGAGUGAAAAAGAACCUGAAACCGUGUACGUACAAGCAGUGGGAGCACAGGUUUACCUGUGUGACUGCGUACCUUUUGUAUAAUGGGUCAGCGACUUAUAUUCUGUAGCAAGGUUAACCGAAUAGGGGAGCCGGAGGGAAACNGUUUCGCUUUGUGUGGUGCACAAAGAAGCGUAACGACAGCACUGAAUGACGGUUAACGGAGCGCAAGCGACGUUCAACAUACAAAGUCAAGCAGUGGAGCGCUUUGGGGUGGGGUGACUGCGUACCUUUUGUAUAAUGGGUCAGCGACUUAUAUUCUGUAGCAAGGUUAACCGAAUAGGGGAGCCGGAGGGAAACCGAGUCUUAAUUGGGCGUUAAGUUGCAGGGUAUAGACCCGAAACCCGGUGAUCUAGCCAUGGGCAGGUUGAAGGUUGGGUAACACUAACUGGAGGACCGAACCGACUAAUGUUGAAAAAUUAGCGGAUGACCUGUGGCUGGGGGUGAAAGGCCAAUCAAACCGGGANAUUCUCUGGUGUUGAAGGCCCUGCAAAGCAGCAUCGCGGUGGCGGAGCGUCGUUUGCGACGCCCAACACACAAAACAAGCGGUGAGUGCUUUGGGGUGGGGUGACUGCGUACCUUUUGUAUAAUGGGUCAGCGACUUAUAUUCUGUAGCAAGGUUAACCGAAUAGGGGAGCCGGAGGGAAACCGAGUCUUAACCGGGCGUUAAGUUGCAGGGUAUAGACCCGAAACCCGGUGAUCUAGCCAUGGGCAGGUUGAAGGUUGGGUAACACUAACUGGAGGACCGAACCGACUAAUGUUGAAAAAUUAGCGGAUGACCUGUGGCUGGGGGUGAAAGGCCAAUCAAACCGGGAGAUAGCUGGUUCUCCCCGAAAGCUAUUUAGGUAGCGCCUCGUGAAUUCAUCUCCGGGGGUAGAGCACUGUUUCGGCUAGGGGGCCAUCCCGGCUUACCAACCCGAUGCAAACUGCGAAUACCGGAGAAUGUUAUCACGGGAGACACACGGCGGGUGCUAACGUCCGUCGUGAAGAGGGAAACAACCCAGACCGCCAGCUAAGGUCCCAAAGUCAUGGUUAAGUGGGAAACGAUGUGGGAAGGCCCAGACAGCCAGGAUGUUGGCUUAGAAGCAGCCAUCAUUUAAAGAAAGCGUAAUAGCUCACUGGUCGAGUCGGCCUGCGCGGAAGAUGUAACGGGGCUAAACCAUGCACCGAAGCUGCGGCAGCGACGCUUAUGCGUUGUUGGGUAGGGGAGCGUUCUGUAAGCCUGUGAAGGUGGCNACGUAUCACCCAAGACAACUUUACGGAGUUGACGAUUGACGGAGCGAAGCGACGUCAAAGCGUUCAUUAAAGUCGAGUUGGCUUAGGGAUACGUUCGUUGGGUAGGGGAGCGUUCUGUAAGCCUGCGAAGGUGGCCUGUGAGGGUUGCUGGAGGUAUCAGAAGUGCGAAUGCUGACAUAAGUAACGAUAAAGCGGGUGAAAAGCCCGCUCGCCGGAAGACCAAGGGUUCCUGNCGCUUAUGCGUUGUUGGGUAGGGGAGCGUUCUGUAAGCCUGUGAAGGUGGCCUGUGAGGGUUGCUGGAGGUAUCAGAAGUGCGAAUGCUGACAUAAGUAACGAUAAAGCGGGUGAAAAGCCCGCUCGCCGGAAGACCAAGGGUUCCUGUCCAACGUUAAUCGGGGCAGGGUGAGUCGACCCCUAAGGCGAGGCCGAAAGGCGUAGUCGAUGGGAAACGGGUUAAUAUUCCCGUACUUGGUGUUACUGCGAAGGGGGGACGGAGAAGGCUAUGUUGGCCGGGCGACGGUUGUCCCGGUUUAAGCGUGUAGGUGUGUGUUCCAGGUAAAUCCGGUUCACUUUAACACUGAGGCGUGAUGACGAGGCACUACGGUGCUGAAGCAACAAAUGCCCUGCUUCCAGGAAAAGCCUCUAAGCAUCAGGUAACAUCAAAUCGUACCCCAAACCGACACAGGUGGUCAGGUAGAGAAUACCAAGGCGCUUGAGAGAACUCGGGUGAAGGAACUAGGCAAAAUGGUGCCGUAACUUCGGGAGAAGGCACGCUGACAUGUAGGUGAAGCGGUUUACCCGUGGAGCUGAAAUCAGUCGAAGAUACCAGCUGGCUGCAACUGUUUAUUAAAAACACAGCACUGUGCAAACACGAAAGUGGACGUAUACGGUGUGACGCCUGCCCGGUGCCGGAAGGUUAAUUGAUGGGGUCAGCGCAAGCGAAGCUCCUGAUCGAAGCCCCGGUAAACGGCGGCCGUAACUAUAACGGUCCUAAGGUAGCGAAAUUCCUUGUCGGGUAAGUUCCGACCUGCACGAAUGGCGUAAUGAUGGCCAGGCUGUCUCCACCCGAGACUCAGUGAAAUUGAACUCGCUGUGAAGAUGCAGUGUACCCGCGGCAAGACGGAAAGACCCCGUGAACCUUUACUAUAGCUUGACACUGAACAUUGAGCCUUGAUGUGUAGGAUAGGUGGGAGGCUUUGAAGUGUGGACGCCAGUCUGCAUGGAGCCGACCUUGAAAUACCACCCUUUAAUGUUUGAUGUUCUAACGUGGACCCGUGAUCCGGGUUGCGGACAGUGUCUGGUGGGUAGUUUGACUGGGGCGGUCUCCUCCUAAAGAGUAACGGAGGAGCACGAAGGUUGGCUAAUCCUGGUCGGACAUCAGGAGGUUAGUGCAAUGGCAUAAGCCAGCUUGACUGCGAGCGUGACGGCGCGAGCAGGUGCGAAAGCAGGUCAUAGUGAUCCGGUGGUUCUGAAUGGAAGGGCCAUCGCUCAACGGAUAAAAGGUACUCCGGGGAUAACAGGCUGAUACCGCCCAAGAGUUCAUAUCGACGGCGGUGUUUGGCACCUCGAUGUCGGCUCAUCACAUCCUGGGGCUGAAGUAGGUCCCAAGGGUAUGGCUGUUCGCCAUUUAAAGUGGUACGCGAGCUGGGUUUAGAACGUCGUGAGACAGUUCGGUCCCUAUCUGCCGUGGGCGCUGGAGAACUGAGGGGGGCUGCUCCUAGUACGAGAGGACCGGAGUGGACGCAUCACUGGUGUUCGGGUUGUCAUGCCAAUGGCACUGCCCGGUAGCUAAAUGCGGAAGAGAUAAGUGCUGAAAGCAUCUAAGCACGAAACUUGCCCCGAGAUGAGUUCUCCCUGAGACUUAGAGUCUCCUGAAGGAACGUUGAAGACGACGACGUUGAUAGGCCGGGUGUGUAAGCGCAGCGAUGCGUUGAGCUAACCGGUACUAAUGAACCGUGAGGCUUAACCUUACAACGCCGAAG